AAACUUUGUUUCAAAGACUUCAUCGUCAGAUCUCAGCAGCUAAGCAGGGUUGGGCCUGGUUAGUAUUUGGAUGGGACACUGCUGGGGAUACCAGGUG
Molecule: ribosomal RNA, 97 nt
Filed under: Periophthalmus magnuspinnatus
Lineage: Eukaryota; Metazoa; Chordata; Actinopteri; Gobiiformes; Gobiidae
Source: RNAcentral